AGGCCACGUGAAACGACGUUUCUUCAAGACAUGCACAUCCGCAUCAUUCAUCUCCGGAGUCGGUUUGUAAACGCGUCAAAAACGCCACCGACAAACCUACGGAAGACAUAACAACAGAAUAUCUGCUCAAACAGUUCGUAACCGAUUGCGUCAAGUUGGUCUAAGAGCUCGUCGUCCAUUGAAGAAACCUAUCCUUACGCAGCGUCACAGGAU
This 213-nucleotide long non-coding RNA is filed under the name Mytilus galloprovincialis (Mediterranean mussel). The record is from RNAcentral. Lineage: Eukaryota; Metazoa; Mollusca; Bivalvia; Mytilida; Mytilidae.